UGAGUAACACGUAUCCAACCUGCCGUCUACUCUUGGACAGCCUUCUGAAAGGAAGAUUAAUACAAGAUGGCAUCAUGAGUCCGCAUGUUCACAUGAUUAAAGGUAUUCCGGUAGACGAUGGGGAUGCGUUCCAUUAGAUAGUAGGCGGGGUAACGGCCCACCUAGUCUUCGAUGGAUAGGGGUUCUGAGAGGAAGGUCCCCCACAUUGGAACUGAGACACGGUCCAGACUCCUACGGGAGGCAGCAUG
RNAcentral lists this ribosomal RNA (248 nucleotides) under uncultured bacterium. RNAcentral describes it as "partial 16S ribosomal RNA". It matches the Rfam family "Bacterial small subunit ribosomal RNA", at positions 107 to 353 of the family's 1533-position model. The record is from RNAcentral.